RNAcentral lists this long non-coding RNA (201 nucleotides) under Capsicum annuum. Its description in RNAcentral is "long non-coding RNA (CANN_LNC004181)". The record is from RNAcentral. Lineage: Eukaryota; Viridiplantae; Streptophyta; Magnoliopsida; Solanales; Solanaceae.
CGCAUGCUUGAUGAACUCACGGAGCCCUUGGCUAAGCCUCCAAGCUUUGGGAUAGAAAAUAAGGAGGUGAUUCUAUGGAGGAGCUGUGAGGUUGAUGAAGUCGUGAGUUUGAGGUCAAACUCCUUUCAAGAUGGAGAGGAGGAUACGAGUAUGACCUUGUAGAUGGACAUAUUUUGGAGCUUGUUGAACUCAACCAAGAAG